This 253-nucleotide ribosomal RNA is filed under the name uncultured bacterium. RNAcentral's name for it is "partial 16S ribosomal RNA". It matches the Rfam family "Bacterial small subunit ribosomal RNA", at positions 524 to 776 of the family's 1533-position model. The record is from RNAcentral.
UACGUAGGGUGCGAGCGUUAAUCGGAAUUACUGGGCGUAAAGCGUGCGCAGGCGGUUUUGUAAGUCUGUCGUGAAAGCCCCGGGCUCAACCUGGGAAUUGCGAUGGAGACUGCAAGGCUUGAAUCUGGCAGAGGGGGGUAGAAUUCCACGUGUAGCAGUGAAAUGCGUAGAGAUGUGGAGGAACACCGAUGGCGAAGGCAGCCCCCUAGGUCAAGAUUGACGCUCAUGCACGAAAGCGUGGGGAGCAAACAGG